ACCCCGGUUCGAAUCCGGGUAGGACCU
This 27-nucleotide non-coding RNA is filed under the name Zygosaccharomyces rouxii. Lineage: Eukaryota; Fungi; Ascomycota; Saccharomycetes; Saccharomycetales; Saccharomycetaceae. RNAcentral also lists the same sequence under 1 other name. The record is from RNAcentral.